AUGGAUAUUAGAGCUAGCAAAUAUGCUCAUAAGUUGUUUAGUAUUCAACAGAAUGCUUUUAUUAAGGGGAGACACAUAGUAGAUGGAAUCCUAUCACUACAUGAGGUUCUGCAUUAUACUCACUUCAAAAAGCAAGUGGGAGUGGUUCUUAAACUUGAUUUCGAGAAAGCAUAUGACAAAGUCAAUUGGGACUUUUUGCUUGAUUGUCAUAGGAAGCGUGGGUUUAGUUCUAAGUGGUGCGGAUGGGUCUCUCAAAUCCUAAAACAUGGCACGGUUAGUGUCAAGAUCAAUAAUGAGGAGGGACCAUACAUUCAAAGCGCUAAGGGGGUGAGACAGGGGGAUCCUCACUCCCCUUUCUUGUUUAAUACUGCGGCUGAUUGCCUAACCAAAAUGGUACUCGCAGCUCAAAAGAAUGGUCUCAUUAAAGGGUUAGCUGCUGAUCUUAUUGAGAAUGGUGUUGGCAUCCUGCAAUAUGCGGAUGACACGGUGCUUUGUUUUGAACAUGAUGUUGACAAAGCUGUAAAUAUCAAACUCUUGCUUUAUCUCUUCGAACUUAUGUCAAGGCUUAAGAUCAAUUUUGAGAAGAGUGAGAUAUUUAGUAUCGGGGGGGAUAAUGAUACUGAUUUGGUUUAUGCCAACAUGUUUGGUUGUCAAGUGGGCAUACUUCCUAUGAAAUAUCUGGGAGUCCCUGUUACUUAUUCUGCCCUCAAGAACGCGGAUCUAGAUUUCCUUGACGGUAAAAUGAUCAAAAAGCUUGAUGCCUGGGUAGCUUAUGCGGCAUCUUCUGGAGCCAGACUGACUUUGUUAGGGUCCAAUUUGGAUGGAAUUCCCUCUUUCCUUAAGUCAAUGUUCCUCUUCAAUAAAACUUUUAUUGAGAAGUUGGAUAAACAUCGCAAACGUUUCUUUUGGAGGAGAAAAAAAAAUAAGAAACGUGGGUACCAUAUGGUUAAGUGGACGAGGAUUUGUCGAUCGAAAAAAAUUAGGGGGCUAGGGAUUAAAGAUCUUCAUAAACAAAAUAUUGCCCUGCUCGUUAAGUGGUGGUGGAAAUUAGAAACGAGUGAUGGGCUAUGGCAGCGUAUAGUAAGAGCUAGAUACUUCAGGAGCAAAACCGUGGCUAACAUUCGGAGCCGCUUUUUGGACUCCCCCUGCUGGAAAGCGAUUAUGAAGGUCAAGGAUUCAUAUAUGGCGGAUAGAAAAAUUAAGAUCGAAAGUGGAAACCUUGCUAGGGUCUGGUAUGACCCUUGGGUUGAGAAUAUUGCGUUGAAAGACCCCUUUCCUGAUCUAUUUAGUAUAUGUCAGGAACAUGAAUGCACUGUUGCAUCCUGGGCGGCAAGCAAUUAUGAUCUUGGCUUUAGACGUAGACUGGUUGGGGUGUUGGGCGAGCAGUGGGCUUGGAUGGUUAUGGAAGCUAAAACACUGUCGUUGAACGAUUCCCAAGAUAAGAUUCUAUGGGCCUUUGGCAGUAAAGGGAAAUUUACUACUAAAUCCUUAUAUGAAUGGUUGGAAAGGAAUUUAUCAGGUCCUAACUAUAAGAUGGUGUGGAAAGCACCUAUCCCGCUGAAAAUUAAAAUCUUCCUUUGGCAGCUGUUUCAGAAUGCAGUUCUUACUCGUGAUAACAUGCGUAUUAGGAACUGGCCUAGAAAUCCCAUGUGCUCCUUCUGUACUGACGUUGAAACAACAAAUCAUUUGUUCUUUACCUGCUCGCUUGCUCGUUCGGUGUGGGGAGUGUUGGGCAUGACGGCUGGGGCAUCCUGUUGUCCUCGUUCUCUUUGGCAAAGCUUCGCUUGGCUUUAUAAGUUUUUUCCAGGCGGGAAACAUUUCUACAUGAUGAUUAUUGCUGCAAUAUGCUAG
This 1851-nucleotide ribosomal RNA is filed under the name Triticum aestivum (bread wheat). RNAcentral's name for it is "partial small subunit ribosomal RNA". Lineage: Eukaryota; Viridiplantae; Streptophyta; Magnoliopsida; Poales; Poaceae. The record is from RNAcentral.